GUCAAGUCAUCAUGCCCCUUAUGUCCAGGGCUUCACACAUGCUACAAUGGCCGGUACAAAGGGCUGCGAAGCCGUGAGGUGGAGCGAAUCCCUGCAAAGCCGGUCUCAGUUCGGAUUGCAGGCUGCAACUCGCCUGCAUGAAGCCGGAAUCGCUAGUAGUCGCGGAUCAGCAUGCCGCGGUGAAUACGUUCCCGGGCCUU
This 200-nucleotide ribosomal RNA is filed under the name uncultured organism. RNAcentral describes it as "partial small subunit ribosomal RNA". It matches the Rfam family "Bacterial small subunit ribosomal RNA", at positions 1184 to 1382 of the family's 1533-position model. The record is from RNAcentral.